RNAcentral lists this ribosomal RNA (396 nucleotides) under uncultured bacterium. RNAcentral's name for it is "partial 16S ribosomal RNA". It matches the Rfam family "Bacterial small subunit ribosomal RNA", at positions 523 to 918 of the family's 1533-position model. The record is from RNAcentral.
AUACGUAGGGGGCUAGCGUUAUCCGGAAUUACUGGGCGUAAAGGGCGCGUAGGCGGCGCUUCAAGUCGUCUGUCAAAUGGGAGGGCUUACCCGUUUUUCGCAGACGAAACUGGCGAGCUUGAGAAGCAGAGAGGCAAACAGAAUUACUGGAGUAGCGGUGAAAUGCGUAGAUAUCAGGAAGAAUACCAGUGGCGAAGGCGGUUUGCUGGCUGCAUACUGACGCUGAAUCGCGAAAGCCAGGGGAGCGAACGGCAUUAGAUACCCCGGUAGUCCUGGCCGUAAACGAUGAAUACUAGGUGUAGGGGGUAUCGACUCCCUCUGUGCCGCAGUUAACACAAUAAGUAUUCCGCCUGGGGAGUACGGCCGCAAGGUUGUAACUCAAAUGAAUUGACGGGG